RNAcentral lists this ribosomal RNA (565 nucleotides) under Seimatosporium mariae. Its description in RNAcentral is "eukaryotic LSU rRNA". The stretch from base 189 to 342 matches the Rfam family "5.8S ribosomal RNA". The record is from RNAcentral. Lineage: Eukaryota; Fungi; Ascomycota; Sordariomycetes; Amphisphaeriales; Sporocadaceae.
CUGCCGCCGGGCGGCUGUUCCGCCCUGUGACUACCUUGUUGCCUCGGCAAAGCUGCUCGGUGCACCUUACCUUGGAACGGCCUACCCUGUACGCCUUACCCUGGAACGGCUUACCCUGCACGGCUGCCGGUGGACUACCAACUCUUGUUAUUUUAUGGUUAUCUGAGCGUCUUAUUUUAAUAAGUCAAAACUUUCAACAACGGAUCUCUUGGUUCUGGCAUCUAUGAAAAACGCAACGAAAUGCGAUAAGUAAUGUGAAUUGCAGAAUUCAGUGAAUCAUCAAAUCUUUGAAAGCACAUUGCGCCCAUUACUAUUCUAGUGGGCGUGCCUGUUCAAGCGUCAUUUCAACCCUUAAACCUAACUUAAUGUUGGGAGCCUAUUGCAUUUGCUAGCUGUAGCUCCUGAAAUACAAGAGCGGAUCUGCGAUAUCCUCCGAGCAUAAUAAAUUUAUAUCUCGCUAUUGACUGGAAGUUGCAUGAGUCUAUUAACCCACUAAAACCCCCCCCAAUUUUAUAAAUUGGUUUUGAACCUCCGCGAUCUAUGGUAAUGAACUCACACUCGACCG